RNAcentral lists this ribosomal RNA (399 nucleotides) under uncultured bacterium. Its description in RNAcentral is "partial 16S ribosomal RNA". It matches the Rfam family "Bacterial small subunit ribosomal RNA", at positions 523 to 919 of the family's 1533-position model. The record is from RNAcentral.
AUACGUAGGGUGCGAGCGUUGUCCGGAAUUACUGGGCGUAAAGAGCUCGUAGGUGGUUUGUCGCGUCGUCUGUGAAAUUCCGGGGCUUAACUCCGGGCGUGCAGGCGAUACGGGCAUAACUUGAGUACUGUAGGGGAGACUGGAAUUCCUGGUGUAGCGGUGAAAUGCGCAGAUAUCAGGAGGAACACCGGUGGCGAAGGCGGGUCUCUGGGCAGUAACUGACGCUGAGGAGCGAAAGCAUGGGUAGCGAACAGGAUUAGAAACCCUGGUAGUCCAUGCCGUAAACGGUGGGCGCUAGGUGUAGGGGUCUUCCACGACUUCUGUGCCGUAGCUAACGCAUUAAGCGCCCCGCCUGGGGAGUACGGCCGCAAGGCUAAAACUCAAAGGAAUUGACGGGGG